CGGGAAGAGCUCAAAUUUAAAAUCUGGCGGUGUAUUCCGUCCGAGUUGUAGUCUAGAGAAGCAUCAUCCGUGCUGGACCAUGUACAAGUCUCUUGGAACAGAAUGUCAGAGAGGGUGAGAAUCCCGUCUUG
Molecule: ribosomal RNA, 131 nt
Filed under: Ceratobasidiaceae sp.
Lineage: Eukaryota; Fungi; Basidiomycota; Agaricomycetes; Cantharellales; Ceratobasidiaceae
Description: partial large subunit ribosomal RNA
Source: RNAcentral